RNAcentral lists this long non-coding RNA (744 nucleotides) under Citrus x clementina. Its description in RNAcentral is "Citrus clementina (C. clementina) long non-coding RNA (CCLE_LNC005628)". The record is from RNAcentral. Lineage: Eukaryota; Viridiplantae; Streptophyta; Magnoliopsida; Sapindales; Rutaceae.
AAUACUAAAAAGAGCUUAAAUGCUUAAAAUUUUCAAAAAUUUGUUAGAAGCCAUGAAAAUAAGUGUUGAAUUAUUUCUUUGUCGAUAAAAUUAGAAUAAAAGCAUCUUCAAUGAAACACAUACAGCCCUAUAAAGGCUGGGAUUCUUGCCGAUUAAAUACUACUUUUACAAAGAAUCUGUGUGACAAUAUAAAAAAGCUUAUAUGAUGAGCAUGCAUACCUGCAGGACGGUUGAUGCUCUAGUUAGAUUCUUGUUUGGGGGAAGGGUUUCUACAAAAUGGAGCAUGACAAAUACCUUAUUAGUUAACAAUGAUUAGGAAUUUUGUAGAGGAUUAACAUCCUCUCAUGGUUUGAACUCUCUUGAACUCCCUCGUAGGACCAUAAUGGAUCAUAAUAGGUGGAUAUUAAGAUAACUAUUAGCUGUCAACUAAGGAUGAUUUAAGUUAAUGUGGUCAGAUAAUAUCCUUAUCGAAUUGUGUAUUUGAUUCUUCUCUUUUCAGUUGAAAUUUAAAAAAAAAAAAGAACUUGAAUUUUAGAAUUGUAUCAAAUAAAAAUGCUAAAAUAAUUAACUUUUAACCAUUCACCACAAUAAAUUUGCAACUCACAAAAUAAAUUUUAUUUAUUUAUUAAUAAUAUGCUUAUCCAAAUAUACAUUCCAUUACAUUCUUUUAUCAAUUAAUACUUGACGCAUAAAGUACCAAAUGAAUUUAAAUUUUAUUGUAGGACCCAUUUGGAAUUAUUUUUA